Molecule: RNA transcript, 3134 nt
Organism: Drosophila elegans
Lineage: Eukaryota; Metazoa; Arthropoda; Insecta; Diptera; Drosophilidae
Exons: 5
Source: RefSeq, a predicted model, not a curated record
GUGGGACUGGGCUAUAAAGAAGAUAUAUUGGCAAACAAAAGCGGGAGGCUAUUCGUUUUAAUUUUUUCAUUUGAAAGCAUGCUCUUACGAAAAGUUUUAUUAUACUAAUUCGGUACAUUGUAUCAUUACCCCGAAAGCAAACUCUUCAAGUUUGGAUAAACCCAUGUACUUGAGUUUGCUAAGUACAUACAUAUACUCGGAAGCUCUUCCUAAUUACGAUAACUUCAAAAGUGAUAAGGAACCUGCUCUAUUCUUUGUACAAACUAAUGCCAGAGGAGAGCACUUACCUUCCAAACUCCCUAUACGCUUUCCGAAUACGUCUGGUGUAAUAAAAACUCCCGACAUGUACAUAUGUAUGUACAUGCAAUCAAACAAUCCGCGCCAAUAUUUAAGAGCUGCACGGUAUUCAGAUCGUCGAAAUCCGUACGCCAGCUUGACCCCGGUACUCAGAUCGACAAGAUAAAUACCAGAAAAUUGCAAUGCGCUGUCAGAUUUUUCUGUGUGAACGAACGCCAGGCCCCGGCGUAAAGAAUAUGAAAUUUAAUAUUUUGAGGUUGGAGUUGGAAGAGCAUAGUAUUUGUCGGAUCAAAUAAUGAACGGAAAACUCAAAAAAAUUAGCAACAUGUACAGCAGUAAUACAAUGUUGACGACAAAAUAGUCCCGAUCCAUUUUGAUGUCACUUUUGUUGAACGCGGUCCAAAAUAUUGCUGAAAACAUGUAUAAUUUUACAUAGUUAAAUAAUAUAUAUACAUUUACAGUACAGAUAAUGAUUAACUAAAGUUGCAAGCUUCUGCGCCUUCUUUCCCAUCGUCCAUCGUCCAUCCCAUCUCCAAUCCCCUUCUCCGUUCCCUCACCGUUCACCAUAUCUGAAAAAACCACAACAAAUAGAUAAUGGUCUUAUUUAGCAGAACAACAUGAUCACUGAUCACUGAUGGAUUUUUUACGAUAGUUUUGCUAACCGUGUAUGAUCCCUGAUCAUGUUGCAAAAAUUCUUUCAUCAGAUCAGCAAAAACGGAGAAUAAAAACAUUUCGGCUAGCUUAUAUCUAUGGUGUAAGAAUCGAUAAGAAUAAACAGAAAAAUUAGAAUGUAAAUAAAACAAAAAUAAAAAACGAACAAAAAAGACAAAAAUUAAUUAUUAAUUAAUUAUAGUUCGACUUUUGUGUCAAGCUAACUUGUUGAGUUUAUUUCUGAGCUCCCGUAUUUAUUAAAAAAUUGUAAACAAAUUUGGUUUCUUUUUGUGUUUUCUCGGUUUUCUGAACUUUGCAACAUAAAUUUUGCAGGUCUUGUCCUUUCCUUUGGCAGGCCGGCUGCUAUGCUUAACCUUUAUUUUUGUUUUAUUUUUGUUCUUGUCCGGCUAAAAUGUUUUUCAAUUUCAAGCCGUCUCUGUUUACCUGUUGUAAAAGCAAUAUUGACCCCCAUGUGAGUAAGCAAUUGGAGUUAUUUAGUCUAUUUAGAGGCGAUUGAGAAACGUAGGCCCAAUACCUCUGUGAAUCGCAGCCUGAUUUAAAAGCUUGUCCUUAAACUUGCUUUGCCCCCGGCACGUAAUGCUUGGUUUACCUCGCGACCUUCUGUAUCCUCAAGUAUCCUCAUUCGCGCCAAAAUGUACUGUCCCCGCUAAGCCAGCCAAACGUUGAAUCUAUUCAACAACCUGCCCAGGACAGUCUUCUGAAAUUUAUUGAUAAGUUAAGGAAGCAGCAAGAGAAUGCUGCGAUGGCUCAACCGGCUGCAAUUGACAAACUGUUGGUACGCUUUGAUCAAAUGUUAUCGAUGAUGACGACGACGCUGCAUGAUGUUGCUGUGUCUGAACUUAAAAAAGUCCUUCGUUUGGCACUUGGGCCCACAGCGAUUCCGAGAUUGCUGAAGUUUUGCAGAUGAUUUGGAAAAUAGUUUAACUCCAUUUGACUUUGCAACAAGCCAAGAAAUCCAAACCACUCUCUCAUUUGGCCCUCCUGUUAAUGUGCGUCCAAUAGACAAGGGUGAGGUUCGUGAUCAUAAUAGGCGACUAAUUUCCACUAAGGCUUCUGGCAUUAACGCGAUUGAUGGAAAGGCCUGCCUAGCUCAGUCAUUACGCAGCUCUGCCAACUCUUGAUGCCCCCUAGACCUUGGUCAUGAUGGUACCAAAAAAAGAAAAGAAAACCCGAGCUCCCCAGAUUCCUAUCGGCCGAUUAGUCUCCUAUGCACUUUUUCUAAGAUUUUUGAACGGAUCAAGCUUGCUAGGCACUUAGCUAUAGCUGCGUUUGAUGAAGCACUUCCAGGCCACCAGUUUGACUUUCGUGUUUGCCAUUGUGCUGUUAAGCAAGUGCACAGAGUAGUAAAUCAUGUACUGGGUGCUUUGGAAGAACGCAAAUACUGCUCAGCUGUCUUUCUUGAUGUUCGCUUUGUUCGUCUUUGACAGGGCUUGGCACGAAGGUCUCUUUUCAAACUAAUGUCACUUUUGCCUGAGGGAUUAUGGAAGCUAAUCGUGACAUCCUUGGAUAAAACGGAGUUUGCUGUCGACAUCCGAGGAUAUCGCUCUGGACUACGCCCAAUUCGUGCUAGGGUCCUGUAUACGCACGCGGUACACUCCUGGCCACCCAUGCAGAUGACACUGCAUUUCUUGCAGUUGGUAGUACCCCAUCGAGUGUUUGUCUUCUCGCUGGAACAUUGCACUGAACGUCGACAUCACGACGUCACGAGGCACAGCCUGUGAUUAAUCUCUUAAAAAGGACGCGGGAGUGCCGACGGUUGCGGAGACAAUUUGUAGCUUUUCAAAUCGAUACAGAGAUCACUUGCCGGAUCACAGGAACCGUCUCUCUAGACGUCGUGCUACACCAUUGGGUCGACAACGUCUCCGCAGACGGCACCCAGCGGACCUGUGGAUUAUUGGCCGCGACAGACACGGGCGUCUCUUAUAACAACACAAGAACACUGACAUGCUUUUACCUGCCCUGCCCUUAAUACCCGAAUAUUUGGGAUCUUUGAACACUUCUAAGCAUACACGAAAACAAGGACCAUCCUUGUGUGACGUUAAAAUAAAAAACUACUUAAUUAUCAUAAGCGUUCAGCAAAAAAAAAAACUUGCUAAAUACGCCCAAUAACACCAAAAAUCUACCAAAAACUUAUGAUAAAAAAUAAAAAAUAAUGAAAGCCAUAA